RNAcentral lists this ribosomal RNA (505 nucleotides) under uncultured bacterium. RNAcentral's name for it is "partial 16S ribosomal RNA". It matches the Rfam family "Bacterial small subunit ribosomal RNA", at positions 28 to 507 of the family's 1533-position model. The record is from RNAcentral.
GACGAACGCUGGCGGCGUGCCUAAUACAUGCAAGUAGAACGCACAGUUUAUACCGUAGCUUGCUCCACCAUAAACUGUGAGUUGCGAACGGGUGAGUAACGCGUAGGUAACCUGCCUGGUAGCGGGGGAUAACUAUUGGAAACGAUAGCUAAUACCGCAUAAUAUUGAUUAUUGCAUGAUAAUUGAUUGAAAGAUGCUAUUGCAUCACUACCAGAUGGACCUGCGUUGUAUUAGCUAGUAGGUGAGGUAACGGCUCACCUAGGCGACGAUACAUAGCCGACCUGAGAGGGUGAUCGGCCACACUGGGACUGAGACACGGCCCAGACUCCUACGGGAGGCAGCAGUAGGGAAUCUUCGGCAAUGGACGAAAGUCUGACCGAGCAACGCCGCGUGAGUGAAGAAGGUUUUCGGAUCGUAAAGCUCUGUUGUAAGAGAAGAACGGGUGUGAGAGUGGAAAGUUCACACUGUGACGGUAUCUUACCAGAAGGGGACGGCUAACUACGUG